Molecule: ribosomal RNA, 497 nt
Filed under: uncultured bacterium
Lineage: Bacteria
Description: partial 16S ribosomal RNA
Rfam family: Bacterial small subunit ribosomal RNA
Source: RNAcentral
GAUGAACGCUGGCGGCGUGCCUAAUACAUGCAAGUCGAGCGAACAGACGAGGAGCUUGCUCCUCUGACGUUAGCGGCGGACGGGUGAGUAACACGUGGAUAACCUACCUAUAAGACUGGGAUAACUUCGGGAAACCGGAGCUAAUACCGGAUAAUAUAUUGAACCGCAUGGUUCAAUAGUGAAAGACGGUUUUGCUGUCACUUAUAGAUGGAUCCGCGCCGCAUUAGCUAGUUGGUAAGGUAACGGCUUACCAAGGCAACGAUGCGUAGCCGACCUGAGAGGGUGAUCGGCCACACUGGAACUGAGACACGGUCCAGACUCCUACGGGAGGCAGCAGUAGGGAAUCUUCCGCAAUGGGCGAAAGCCUGACGGAGCAACGCCGCGUGAGUGAUGAAGGUCUUCGGACCGUAAAGCUCUGUUAUUAGGGAAGAACAAAUGUGUAAGUAACUAUGCACGUCUUGACGGUACCUAAUCAGAAAGCCACGGCUAACUACGUG